GCAAAUGUCCGUUUUUCAGGGGGAGACUCUGCUGAAAUUUCUGCAAAAAGUCUCGACCCUCUUUUCCUUUGUUUUCGGAGAAGAGAAUAAUGUUAGUAAGUGGGUCCGGCAUCUGGUGGAUGUCCUAUCAACUUGGUAUCAGAGCCACAAGAUUUCCUCUCACUACACUUACACACGACUAGUUCCACUUGAAGAAAUGGUCAACACUGAAGUAGUAGCCAUACCAGUCCUCAGAUACAACUACUUGCCUCGCAACCACUAGUGCAAAG
RNAcentral lists this long non-coding RNA (269 nucleotides) under Prunus persica (peach). RNAcentral's name for it is "long non-coding RNA (PPER_LNC004613)". Lineage: Eukaryota; Viridiplantae; Streptophyta; Magnoliopsida; Rosales; Rosaceae. The record is from RNAcentral.